Molecule: long non-coding RNA, 901 nt
Organism: Hibiscus syriacus
Lineage: Eukaryota; Viridiplantae; Streptophyta; Magnoliopsida; Malvales; Malvaceae
Exons: 5
Source: RefSeq, a predicted model, not a curated record
CCCCCGUUCUCUUCCUCACCUACCCUGCUGAAACUCUCCUCCUUCACAAAUCUCUUCUGAAACUCUUCGUUUUUCCUUUGUUCUUCUUGAAAUCCUUCUCUUCAAUUAUUGUUCUCGAUUUUCCUUUAUGGUUUGUGGGAGUCCACACAUAAAGUGGAAGCAUUGUGAUGCUGUUGCCAAGAUAUUUGCUGAAAACGACUUUGGGACAUCCAAAAGAUAUUGUUGGUUGUGGGCCUAAUGCUAAAAGUGGGCCUUAUGAAGGGGAUGACGAGAUCAUUUAUGAUGAAUUAAAUGUUACUGAUGGGAUAAUAGUGAAAUUGAACGGUUAGAUGGAGGACAUUUACUGUCUGAUGAUGAUGAUGAGGAGAUAGCUGCAAUUAAAGAUCAAUUUAGGCUAGUUACAAAGAAAAUCAAAGAUAAGUCUGUCACUGAAGAAGACAUCGGAUCUGAGCUUGUAUUAGAGGGAAAUGAAGCCAAUUCAGAUGGGUUAGGACAGGGAAAGGAUACUGAUUAUCCAAAAUCUUCUGAUAUUGGUAGCUAUGAGACGGACUCAGAUAGCCAAACAGUUUCCAAAAAGACUGGUUUUGGAAAGACACUGGAAUGGGCUGCACAGACCGAGCAUUGAAGAGAGAGAUUUAACCUAGAAGACAAACAAAAAAGGAAGAGAGAAGACAGUGAAGUUUGCAGUGAAACAAAAUGGAGAAAACAAGGAUUUAUGAUGAGUUGCAAUGUAUGUGGCCUUAAGGGACAUAAUAUAAGUUGUCCAAAUAAAAACCAAUCCAAUAUUGAAACUGAAGGCGAUCAAACAGUAAAUCCUGAAUAUGGAUUGGGUAGGCCAAGAGGGAGAACAAUUAUGCAAGGUUUUGGCAUGUAUACAAAUGAACGAAUCGGUCUUUAAAUU